Molecule: small nuclear RNA, 164 nt
Organism: Neogale vison (American mink)
Lineage: Eukaryota; Metazoa; Chordata; Mammalia; Carnivora; Mustelidae
Product: U1 spliceosomal RNA
Exons: 1
Source: RefSeq, a predicted model, not a curated record
AUACUUACCCGGCAGGGGAGAUACCAUGAUCAAGCAGGUCGUUUUCUCAGGAUGAGGCUUGUCAGUUGCACUGCAGAUGUGCUGACCCCUGCAAUUUCCCCAAAUGUGGGAAACUCGACUCCAUAAUUUAUGGUAGUGGAGGACUGCAUUUCCCCUUUCCCCGG